RNAcentral lists this ribosomal RNA (526 nucleotides) under Bos grunniens (domestic yak). Its description in RNAcentral is "partial 16S ribosomal RNA". It matches the Rfam family "Bacterial large subunit ribosomal RNA", at positions 1856 to 2606 of the family's 2925-position model. Lineage: Eukaryota; Metazoa; Chordata; Mammalia; Artiodactyla; Bovidae. The record is from RNAcentral.
UGCCUGCCCAGUGACAACUGUUUAACGGCCGCGGUAUCCUGACCGUGCAAAGGUAGCAUAAUCAUUUGUUCUCUAAAUAAGGACUUGUAUGAAUGGCCACACGAGGGUUUUACUGUCUCUUACUUCCAAUCAGUGAAAUUGACCUUCCCGUGAAGAGGCGGGAAUGCAUAAAUAAGACGAGAAGACCCUAUGGAGCUUUAACUAACCAACCCAAAGAAAAUAAAUUUAACCAUUGAGGAACAACAACAAUCUCCAUGAGUUGGUAGUUUCGGUUGGGGUGACCUCGGAGAAUAAAAAAUCCUCCGAACGAUUUUAAAGACUAGACCCACAAGUCAAAUCACUCUAUCGCUCAUUGAUCCAAAAAUUUGAUCAACGGAACAAGUUACCCUAGGGAUAACAGCGCAAUCCUAUUUAAGAGUCCAUAUCGACAAUAGGGUUUACGACCUCGAUGUUGGAUCAGGACAUCCUGAUGGUGCAACCGCUAUCAAAGGUUCGUUUGUUCAACGAUUAAAGUCCUACGUGAUCU